RNAcentral lists this ribosomal RNA (108 nucleotides) under Heterodiophrys zhui. Its description in RNAcentral is "5.8S ribosomal RNA". It matches the Rfam family "5.8S ribosomal RNA", at positions 1 to 111 of the family's 154-position model. From Rfam's summary of the family: 5.8S ribosomal RNA (5.8S rRNA) is a component of the large subunit of the eukaryotic ribosome. It is transcribed by RNA polymerase I as part of the 45S precursor that also contains 18S and 28S rRNA. Functionally, it is thought that 5.8S rRNA may be involved in ribosome translocation. Lineage: Eukaryota; Ciliophora; Spirotrichea; Euplotida; Uronychiidae. The record is from RNAcentral.
AAUUCUGAACGGUGGAUGUCUUGGCUCCUACUACGAUGAAGAACGCAGCGAAGUGCGAUAAGCAGUGCGAAUUGCAGACCAUGAAUCAUUAGAAUUUUGAACGCUUUC